UGGGGAAUCUUGCACAAUGGACGAAAGUCUGAUGCAGCGACGCCGCGUGAGCGAUGAAGCCCUUCGGGGUGUAAAGCUCUUUCGACAGGAACGAUAAUGACGGUACCUGGAGAAGAAGCUGCGGCUAACUACGUGCCAGCAGCCGCGGUAAUACGUAGGCAGCAAGCGUUGUUCGGAAUUACUGGGCGUAAAGCGUGCGUAGGCGGUGGCUCAAGUUUGGUGUGAAAUCUCCCGGCUCAACUGGGAGGGUGCGCCGAAAACUGAGUUGCUCGAGUGUGGGAGAGGUAGGCGGAAUUCCUGGUGUAGCGGUGAAAUGCGUAGAUAUCAGGAGGAACACCGGCGGUGUAGACGGCUUACUGGACCAUAACUGACGCUGAGGCACGAAAGUGUGGGGAGCAAACAGG
This 404-nucleotide ribosomal RNA is filed under the name uncultured bacterium. RNAcentral describes it as "bacterial SSU rRNA". It matches the Rfam family "Bacterial small subunit ribosomal RNA", at positions 355 to 776 of the family's 1533-position model. The record is from RNAcentral. RNAcentral also lists the same sequence under 1 other name.